This 399-nucleotide ribosomal RNA is filed under the name Bos taurus (domestic cattle). Its description in RNAcentral is "partial 12S ribosomal RNA". It matches the Rfam family "Bacterial small subunit ribosomal RNA", at positions 929 to 1509 of the family's 1533-position model. The record is from RNAcentral. Lineage: Eukaryota; Metazoa; Chordata; Mammalia; Artiodactyla; Bovidae.
CUAGAGGAGCCUGUUCUAUAAUCGAUAAACCCCGAUAAACCUCACCAAUUCUUGCUAAUACAGUCUAUAUACCGCCAUCUUCAGCAAACCCUAAAAAGGAAAAAAAGUAAGCGUAAUUAUGAUACAUAAAAACGUUAGGUCAAGGUGUAACCUAUGAAAUGGGAAGAAAUGGGCUACAUUCUCUACACCAAGAGAAUCAAGCACGAAAGUUAUUAUGAAACCAAUAACCAAAGGAGGAUUUAGCAGUAAACUAAGAAUAGAGUGCUUAGUUGAAUUAGGCCAUGAAGCACGCACACACCGCCCGUCACCCUCCUCAAAUAGAUUCAGUGCAUCUUAACCCUAUUUAAACGCACUAGCUACAUGAGAGGAGACAAGUCGUAACAAGGUAAGCAUACUGGA